This 200-nucleotide unclassified non-coding RNA is filed under the name Thielavia sp. RNAcentral's name for it is "partial internal transcribed spacer 2". The record is from RNAcentral. Lineage: Eukaryota; Fungi; Ascomycota; Sordariomycetes; Coronophorales; Ceratostomataceae.
UUAAGUUCAGCGGGUAUUCCUACCUGAUCCGAGGUCAACCUUUGGGUGUCCUCUCUCUCGAGAGGUCGUUUCACGGCCGGUACCCGCAGCACGCCCAGAGCGAGAAUUAUGCUACUACGCUCGGUGUGUCAGCGAGCCCGCCACUGCAUUUCAGGGCCUGCGCGCCCCGGAGGGCCCGCAGCUCCCCAACACAAGCACGG